CGCGUGCGGGAUGAAGGCCUUCGGGUUGUAAACCGCUUUCAGCAGGGACGAGGCGAAAGUGACGGUACCUGCAGAAGAAGCCCCGGCUAACUACGUGCCAGCAGCCGCGGUAAUACGUAGGGGGCAAGCGUUAUCCGGAUUCAUUGGGCGUAAAGCGCGCGUAGACUGCCCAGUAGGUCGAGAGUUAAAUCCGGGGGCUCAACCCCCGUCCGCUCCCGAUACCGCUGGGAUUCGAGUCUGGUAGGGGAAGGUGGAAUUCCCAGUGUAGCGGUGGAAUGCGCAGAUAUUGGGAAGAACACCGGUGGCGAAGGCGGCCUUCUGGGCCAUGACUGACGCUGAGGCGCGAAAGCUAGGGGAGCGAACAGGAUUAGAUACCCUGGUAGUCCUAGCCGUAAACGAUGGGCACUAGGUGUGGGGAGGCUUACUUUCCGUGCCGACGCUAACGCAUUAAGUGCCCCGCCUGGGGAGUACGGCCGCAAGGCUAAACUCAAAGGAAUUGACGGGGGCCCGCACAAGCA
Molecule: ribosomal RNA, 518 nt
Filed under: Atopobium sp. oral taxon 416
Lineage: Bacteria; Bacillati; Actinomycetota; Coriobacteriia; Coriobacteriales; Atopobiaceae
Description: bacterial SSU rRNA
Rfam family: Bacterial small subunit ribosomal RNA
Source: RNAcentral